GGUUCUAUGGUGUAGUGGUUAGCACUUUGGACUUUGAAUCCAACGACCUGGGUUCGAAUCCCGGUUGGACCU
Molecule: transfer RNA, 72 nt
Filed under: Zingiber officinale
Lineage: Eukaryota; Viridiplantae; Streptophyta; Magnoliopsida; Zingiberales; Zingiberaceae
Rfam family: tRNA
About the family: Transfer RNA (tRNA) molecules are approximately 80 nucleotides in length.
Source: Rfam by way of RNAcentral